CUCACCUGGUCAGAUACCUUCCAGCUCAAACCCUCCGUCGCCCACGUCACAGAGAAGAAAUAAGCAGAGUAGAAACAAAGAACUGGACCGAGCCUGAGAGAGAACCAGGAUAAAUAUCGGAGUCACCUCAGAGGUGGAGGAGCUGCAGGUCUGUCAGGACUUUUCUGCUGGACAGUGAGCAGCAGCUCCUCAGUCAGAACCACUGGGUCUGUAACCGGGCCUCAGGAGCUGCUCUUCUUCCACAUGGACGUGGAGUCGGCCUGUGUAUUUGUAAAGUUCUUCCUUGGUGAUGUAAAAGGUGUUAAAGUGAGUCCAGGUGUGUCAGCUGGCGUCGGGAGAUCACAUGAUCACUGCAGUUUCAGAAGUCCUGCGUAUCUGUUCCGUCCAGCUUCGGACUGCUGGAGCCGGAUGGGACAGAUACACAGCGGACCGGACCGGACCGGACCUGCUGGAGGUUAACACUGAGACUACAGUGAAUUGUAAUGCAGCGAACACGGAUCUGGUGAAGUGCAGAGAGCAUCAGGAGUUCAUUCCAACAUUGUUCACUGAAAGUG
Acanthopagrus latus (yellowfin seabream) is the source of this 554-nucleotide long non-coding RNA. RefSeq lists it as uncharacterized. The transcript has 4 exons. NCBI's taxonomy places the organism in Eukaryota, Metazoa, Chordata, Actinopteri, Spariformes, Sparidae. The record is from RefSeq and is a predicted model, not a curated record.